Molecule: ribosomal RNA, 442 nt
Filed under: uncultured bacterium
Lineage: Bacteria
Description: partial 16S ribosomal RNA
Rfam family: Bacterial small subunit ribosomal RNA
Source: RNAcentral
CCUACGGGUGGCAGCAGUGGGGAAUAUUGGGCAAUGGACGCAAGUCUGACCCAGCAACGCCGCGUGAAGGAAGAAGGCUUUCGGGUUGUAAACUUCUUUUAAGGGGGAAGAGCAGAAGACGGUACCCCUUGAAUAAGCCACGGCUAACUACGUGCCAGCAGCCGCGGUAAUACGUAGGUGGCAAGCGUUGUCCGGAUUUACUGGGUGUAAAGGGCGUGCAGCCGGGCCGACAAGUCAGAUGUGAAAUCCGCGGGCUUAACCCGCGAACUGCAUUUGAAACUAUUGGUCUUGAGUACCGGAGAGGUCAUCGGAAUUCCUUGUGUAGCGGUGAAAUGCGUAGAUAUCACACAGAACACCGAUUGCGAAGGCAUCUCACGAAUCCGCGAUUGACGCUGAUGCACGAAAGCGUGGGUAUCAAACAGGAUUAGAUACCCCUGUAGUC